This is a long non-coding RNA of Gordionus sp. m RMFG-2023, 546 nucleotides long. RefSeq lists it as uncharacterized. The record is from RefSeq and is a predicted model, not a curated record. Lineage: Eukaryota; Metazoa; Nematomorpha; Gordioida; Chordodea; Parachordodidae. The transcript has 6 exons.
CCAUUUCAUUCACUUCACAUAUCAUAGCAAUGAUAUCCAGCAACCAAAUUCUUCAACAAAACCCAAUUACCAAUAUAAGAAAAAACAAACCAAGUUAAAAAGCAGAAUAAGCGAAAUGCUUUGUUACCAUCAUUCCAGAGGUAUGUGAUGCUAUAUGGAAAACUUUAAAAGAUAUUCAUAUGCCAGUUCCAACUAGAGAACAUUGGGAGAAGAUUGCACAAAAAUAUUUUGACCUGGCUCAUUAGAUGGUAAGCACUUUAUAUCAAAAGUUAGAAAAACCAAUAUCAAACACCUUAAAAAACUAUGAAACCUUAUCCUAUGAAAAAUACCAGUCCAGAAGCAAAACAUUAUAAGUUAAGAUUCCUAGUUCUCAACUACCAAAAUUAUUAUGGUCUUUGGCAGGUUUAAGAAAAUUUUCCCAAGUGCGUGGACCUGGCUUGGAAAUUUUUUAAUAUUAGGCAUAGGUGUAAUAUUUAACACAGAAUAUUUAUAUGGCCCUCAGGUAAAGCAUUAUAGGUAAACCGAAUGUUAAAGACUCAAUUUGGC